RNAcentral lists this non-coding RNA (25 nucleotides) under Mus musculus (house mouse). Lineage: Eukaryota; Metazoa; Chordata; Mammalia; Rodentia; Muridae. The record is from RNAcentral.
UGAAGAUCUAUGAAUCGGUGCUUAC